This 253-nucleotide ribosomal RNA is filed under the name uncultured bacterium. RNAcentral describes it as "partial 16S ribosomal RNA". It matches the Rfam family "Bacterial small subunit ribosomal RNA", at positions 524 to 776 of the family's 1533-position model. The record is from RNAcentral.
UACGUAGGGUGCAAGCGUUGUCCGGAAUUAUUGGGCGUAAAGAGCUCGUAGGCGGUCUGUUGCGUCGGCUGUGAAAACCCGGGGCUCAACCCCGGGCCUGCAGCCGAUACUGGCAGACUAGAGUUCGGCAGGGGAGACUGGAAUUCCUGGUGUAGCGGUGAAAUGCGCAGAUAUCAGGAGGAACACCGGUGGCGAAGGCGGGUCUCUGGGCCGAUACUGACGCUGAGGAGCGAAAGCGUGGGGAGCGAACAGG